UCYUACGGGAGGCAGCAGUGGGGAAUAUUGCACAAUGGGCGCAAGCCUGAUGCAGCCAUGCCGCGUGUAUGAAGAAGGCCUUCGGGUUGUAAAGUACUUUCAGCGAGGAGGAAGGCAUUAAGGUUAAUAACCUURGUGAUUGRCGUUACUCGCAGAAGAAGCACCGGCUAACUCCGUGCCAGCAGCCGCGGUAAUACGGAGGGKGCAAGCGUUAAUCGGAAUUAMUGGGCGUAAAGCGCACGCAGGCGGUUUGUUAAGUCAGAUGUGAAAUCCCCGAGCUUAACUUGGGAACUGCAUUUGAAACUGGCMAGCUAGAGUCUUGUAGAGGGGGGUAGAAUUCCAGGGUAGCGGUGAAAUGCGUAGAGAUCUGGAGGAAU
RNAcentral lists this ribosomal RNA (377 nucleotides) under Hafnia paralvei. Its description in RNAcentral is "bacterial SSU rRNA". Lineage: Bacteria; Pseudomonadati; Pseudomonadota; Gammaproteobacteria; Enterobacterales; Hafniaceae. The record is from RNAcentral.